This 493-nucleotide ribosomal RNA is filed under the name uncultured bacterium. RNAcentral describes it as "partial 16S ribosomal RNA". It matches the Rfam family "Bacterial small subunit ribosomal RNA", at positions 28 to 507 of the family's 1533-position model. The record is from RNAcentral.
GACGAACGCUGGCGGCGUGCUUAACACAUGCAAGUCGAACGGUGAAGGGACCGGUUUUUGCUGGUUCUGGAUGAGUGGCGAACGGGUGAGCAACACGUGAGUAACCUGCCCCCUUCUUCUGGAUAACCGCAUGAAAGUGUGGCUAAUACGGGAUAUUCUGCGCCUGCUGCAUGGUGGGUGUGGGAAAGAUAUUGUUUCGGUGGGGGAUGGGCUCGCGGCCUAUCAGCUUGUUGGUGGGGUGAUGGCCUACCAAGGCGGUGACGGGUAGCCGGCCUGAGAGGGUGGACGGUCACACUGGGACUGAGACACGGCCCAGACUCCUACGGGAGGCAGCAGUGGGGAAUAUUGCACAAUGGGCGCAAGCCUGAUGCAGCGACGCCGCGUGAGGGAUGGAGGCCUUCGGGUUGUAAACCUCUUUCGCCAGUGAAGCAGGCCUGUCCCUUUUGUGGGUGGGUUGACGGUAGCUGGAUAAGAAGCGCCGGCUAACUACGUG